AGGAUAAAACAUUCCAUGCACAAUAAAACCGUUCUACCAAGAACGCUAAAGACACUAUGUUAGAGGAACAAAAUGUAUUGAAACAGUAAACAAUUAGCAGGGAAAGUACUAAUAAUAAUCACCUUCACAAGAUGAAAGAAAGCAGAUGAGGCCCUUGACGAGAUCAACAGCACCAGAAUCCCAAGAACAGACCUAGAAGAAAACAGUUCAUAAAUCAGGACACAACCAAGCUUUCUACCCACAAGGAAACUCUUCUACCAAGAAUGCUAAAAACAGUAUAUACAACAGCACGAGCAGAAGGGAAUAGGACAGAUCUUAACCCCAAACAGAAAAAGGAUUCUAAGCACGACCGCAUUUCAUCGAACAGGUAGAAAGUAAGCGGGGAAAAAGUGGCUCACCUCUGACGAAACGUAAAUCGCACAGUUCAGACCGACGCAAG
This 439-nucleotide long non-coding RNA is filed under the name Triticum aestivum (bread wheat). RNAcentral describes it as "long non-coding RNA (TAES_LNC026283)". The record is from RNAcentral. Lineage: Eukaryota; Viridiplantae; Streptophyta; Magnoliopsida; Poales; Poaceae.